AUUAACGCGAAGAACCUUACCUGGACUAGAAUGUGAGGGGAUAUCGGGUAAUGCCGGUAGUCCGGGAAACCGGACCCAAAACAAGGUGCUGCAUGGCUGUCGUCAGCUCGUGUUGUGAGAUGUUGGGUUAAGUCCCGCAACGAGCGCAACCCUUGCUUUUAGUUGCUCAUCCGUAAGGAUAGCACUCUAAAUAGGACUGCCGGUGAUAAACCGGAGGAAGGUGGGGAUGACGUCAAGUCAUCAUGGCCUUUAUGCCCGGGGCUACACACGUGCUACAAUGGACGGUACAAAGGGCUGCUAACCCGCGAGGGGGAGCCAAUCCCAAAAAGCCGUUCUCAGUUCGGAUUGGAGUCUGCAACUCGACUCUAUGAAGGCGGAAUCGCUAGUAAUCGCGGAUCAGCAUGCCGCGGUGAAUACGUUCCCGGGUCUUGUACACACG
RNAcentral lists this ribosomal RNA (439 nucleotides) under uncultured bacterium. RNAcentral's name for it is "bacterial SSU rRNA". It matches the Rfam family "Bacterial small subunit ribosomal RNA", at positions 955 to 1391 of the family's 1533-position model. The record is from RNAcentral.